ACUCAAAGGAAUUGACGGGGACCCGCACAAGCGGUGGAGCAUGUGGUUUAAUUCGACGCAACGCGAAGAACCUUACCAGGGCUUGACAUCCCUUGACAGCCAUGGAAACAUGGAAUUCGGUCCUUCGGGACCGACAAGGAGACAGGUGGUGCAUGGUUGUCGUCAGCUCGUGUCGUGAGAUGUUGGGUUAAGUCCCGCAACGAGCGCAACCCCUAUUUUCAGUUGCCAGCACGUAACGGUGGGAACUCUGAAGAAACUGCCGGUGACAAACCGGAGGAAGGUGGGGACGACGUCAAAUCAUCAUGCCCUUUAUGUCCUGGGCUACACACGUGCUACAAUGGCCGGUACAGAGGGUGGCGAAGCCGUAAGGCGGAGCGAAUCCCCAAAGCCGGUCUCAGUUCGGAUUGCAGGCUGCAACCCGCCUGCAUGAAGUCGGAAUCGCUAGUAAUCGCGAGUCAGCAUAUCGCGGUGAAUACGUUCCCGGGUCUUGCACACACCGCCCGU
Molecule: ribosomal RNA, 504 nt
Filed under: uncultured bacterium
Lineage: Bacteria
Description: bacterial SSU rRNA
Rfam family: Bacterial small subunit ribosomal RNA
Source: RNAcentral